This 750-nucleotide ribosomal RNA is filed under the name uncultured bacterium. RNAcentral describes it as "bacterial SSU rRNA". It matches the Rfam family "Bacterial small subunit ribosomal RNA", at positions 47 to 765 of the family's 1533-position model. The record is from RNAcentral.
GGUCAUAACUGNCAGUCGAACGAACUUCUUUAUCACCGAGUGCUUGCACUCACCGAUAAAGAGUUGAGUGGCGAACGGGUGAGUAACACGUGGGCAACCUGCCCAAGAGACUGGGAUAACACUUGGAAACAGGUGCUAAUACCGCAUAACCAUAGUUACCGCAUGGUAACUAUGUAAAAGGUGGCUAUGCUACCGCUUUUGGAUGGGCCCGCGGCGCAUUAUCUAGUUGGUGGGGUAAAGGCUUACCAAGGCAAUGAUGCGUAACCGAACUGAGAGGUUGAUCGGCCACAUUGGGACUGAGACACGGCCCAAACUCCUACGGGAGGCAGCAGUAGGGAAUCUUCCACAAUGGGCGAAAGCCUGAUGGAGCAACGCCGCGUGGGUGAAGAAUGUCUUCGGAUCGUAAAACCCUGUUGUUAGAGAAGAAAGUGCGUGAGAGUAACUGUUCACGUUUCGACGGUAUCUAACCAGAAAGCCACGGCUAACUACGUGCCAGCAGCCGCGGUAAUACGUAAGUGGCAAGCGUUAUCCGGAUUUAUUGGGCGUAAAGGGAACGCAGGCGGUCUUUUAAGUCUGAUGUGAAAGCCUUCGGCUUAACCGGAGUAGUGCAUUGUAAACUGGGAGACUUGAAUGCAGAAUACGAGAGUGGAACUCCAUGUGUAGCGGUGAAAUGCGUAGAUAUAUGGAAGAACACCAAUGGCGAAAGCGGCUCUCUGGUCUGUAACUGACGCUGAAGUUCGAAAGCGUGAG